AUGGUUGAAGCAAUGCAAGAAAAGUUCAUGAAGUAUUGGAAGCUGUCAUUCUUGACCAUUUGUCUUCCGAUCAUACUCGACCCCAGGUACAAGUUUAAAUUCUUGGAGUUCCGCUUAAAAUCUGGACUUGAAAGUGAUGCAACAAGGUAUCUUGCUAAAGUGAAGAGAACAUUCAAAGAUCUAUUUGUUGAAUAUUCUAUGCAUGAGGGUGAGUCAAAUAUGAGAAAUGAUCAAGGAACCAACAAUGUUGGUACAAGUAUUGAUAACCCAUGGGAUCAAUGGAACAAACAAGUUAAGCAAAAUCAAGAAAAUCGAGCAAAGCUGAGUGAACUUGAUAUUUACCUAAAAGAUGAUGUUUGCCCGCAAGAAGAUGGCUUCGACAUACUAUGUUGGUGGUCCAAUAAUGCACACAAGUACCCCAUAGUAUCUCGGAUAGCAAAGGAUGUAUUGGCUGCACCUGCAUCUAGUGUAGCAUCAGAGUCGGCCUUCUCCACUGGAGGAAGAGUAUUCAGUGACUAUAGGACCAGAUUGCUUCCUACCACUGUAGAGGCAUUGAACUGUAUAAUGGUAGUGAACAUCAGUUUUUGUCAAGAACCUCCGUUCAGUAUCAGUAGUAGUAUAUUUGGAGACCCUCGGCACCGGCAUCCACAAUAG
Molecule: ribosomal RNA, 654 nt
Filed under: Triticum aestivum (bread wheat)
Lineage: Eukaryota; Viridiplantae; Streptophyta; Magnoliopsida; Poales; Poaceae
Description: partial small subunit ribosomal RNA
Source: RNAcentral